CUCGUAGGCGGUUCGUCGCGUCCGGCGUGAAAGUCCAUCGCUUAACGGUGGAUCCGCGCCGGGUACGGGCGGGCUUGAGUGCGGUAGGGGAGACUGGAAUUCCCGGUGUAACGGUGGAAUGUGUAGAUAUCGGGAAGAACACCAAUGGCGAAGGCAGGUCUCUGGGCCGUCACUGACGCUGAGGAGCGAAAGCGUGGGGAGCGAACA
This 207-nucleotide ribosomal RNA is filed under the name uncultured bacterium. RNAcentral's name for it is "partial 16S ribosomal RNA". It matches the Rfam family "Bacterial small subunit ribosomal RNA", at positions 568 to 774 of the family's 1533-position model. The record is from RNAcentral.